This 253-nucleotide ribosomal RNA is filed under the name uncultured bacterium. Its description in RNAcentral is "partial 16S ribosomal RNA". It matches the Rfam family "Bacterial small subunit ribosomal RNA", at positions 524 to 776 of the family's 1533-position model. The record is from RNAcentral.
UACGUAGGGGGCUAGCGUUGUCCGGAAUCAUUGGGCGUAAAGAGCGUGUAGGCGGCUCGGUAAGUCCGCUGUGAAAGUCCAGGGCUCAACCCUGGAAUGCCAGUGGAAACUGUCGAGCUAGAGUCCGGAAGAGGCGAGUGGAAUUCCUGGUGUAGCGGUGAAAUGCGCAGAUAUCGGAAAGAACACCAACGGCGAAAGCACUCUGCUGGGCCGACACUGACACUGAGGGACGAAAGCUAGGGGAGCGAAUGGG